This 1397-nucleotide long non-coding RNA is filed under the name Junco hyemalis (dark-eyed junco). RNAcentral describes it as "lncRNA (ENSJHYG00000010057.1)". The record is from RNAcentral. Lineage: Eukaryota; Metazoa; Chordata; Aves; Passeriformes; Passerellidae.
GCUGCCCGACCAGAGGGACAUGCUAUUUACAGUGUCAGUGGUGUUGGGCAGCUGACAUGUUUGUUUAACUCAUGCUGAACAAGUUGAUAGUAAAUCAGGUCUCUCAUCUCUAUUUGAAAGACCAGCAUGAAAUCUUGCAUAUGUACUGUAUCAUCUUGAAAGGCUUAGUGUGAGGAUUGCUUUCAGUAUUCUCAUUUUCAGCCUUAAGAUCUCAGUUACAACUCCAGCUGCCCUUGAAUUUUAGCAUAUCUCUCAUUUCUUUCAAGCAUAACCACCCAUCACAUCUAUACUAAAAGACAAGAAUGGAAUAAUUAAUUCAGUCAGUAAGCUCAUCAACAGAUUAGCCUGAGGAACAGACUGUGUUAUUUUAAACAUUAUUUAUUUUAUAUUUAAUUUAAGGAUAUAUUCUUAAAAUAUUUUGAUAUAACUAUAUUUAAUUUUGCAUCAUUUAGAGGUACAAAUGGUUGCUGUCAGGUAGAAAAGUUUGAAAAUAGUCAAUUCAGAAUUUUCAGAACUUUUUCAUUUAGAAAAUAUGACAUAGGAAGAAUUCUUAAUAUUACAGGGGUUUUGUUUCCUCAAAGAAAAUCAAAAUAAUAGUUGAUAAAUUAUUUAAUAGCUUCUUUUUGUUCUCUUUCUCUUUUCCUUUUGCAUUUCAGAUAAAACUGUUGGGAAAGAACAUAGGACAACCUUCUAAUUGAGUGAUGAAAUAAUAAGAUCAAAUGAACCAGUCUAACAGUGCCCUCACCCAGUCCUUGAUGUCCAGUGCAGCAUUUGGAACUAAAUUCAGCCUUGUUACUGAGUUUGUGUUCACAUCUCAUGCUGCGUGGGGAAUAAAAUCUUGGGCUCCAGGGCAGGUAAGGAGACUUCUCAUCUAUCCCACAAAAACCCCGAGGUCUGUGCUCUUCCUUAGGACAGAUGUACCCACCACUUGCUUUGCAGCACUGUGAAGACAGAUGAAAUGGGGUUAUGGAAUCUUUUCCAGAAGGAUAAUGCUAUUUUUAAGGAUAGAUACUAUUUGUAAGCUCAAACCUUAUAUCUAUUGAUGCACUUUUCACUAACCUGCACACUGUCCAGUAAUUUGGCUGGAGAACACUUUUGGGUCAGUGUAGUCCAUGGGGUACAAUCAGAAUAGAUACUGUUGGUUUCAGUUUAAUGCAAUCAGUUUUUGUAAACAAUUUAAGAGACACUUAUUUUGAAGUGCAGCAAAUAACCUCUAACUGAAGGACAAAAAUACCUUGGACAUGUAUUGCUUUCAGAAAGAAAAAAAAAAACACAACAAAACAAACAAACAAAAAAAACCACCAACAAACAUAAAAAAACCCUAAUCAUAUGAGCAGAUACACUGCCUGAAGGCUUAGUGUGAAAUAAACUUGAACUAGUACUAAGAUCUAACUUCA